Long non-coding RNA from Patella vulgata (common limpet), 992 nucleotides. RefSeq lists it as uncharacterized. The record is from RefSeq and is a predicted model, not a curated record. NCBI's taxonomy places the organism in Eukaryota, Metazoa, Mollusca, Gastropoda, Patellidae. The transcript has 6 exons.
GAUGGCACGAUGUCGCUGGGUCAUUGAUUCAGGUGACAACAAUAAAAAAAUUCGUUUGAAGUUUACAAACAUUCGUCUAGCCACUGAUCCAAACUGCCUUCAAGAAUAUGUACAGUUCCGAGAUUCACCUUUGGGCGUGUCAGGUCAGACACUACAUUAUUGUGGAAGAACAAUACACACUGGAUAUGAUUCGGUUGGUCGAGUUAUCAUGGUGGAUUACAAUGUUCCAGCAGGGUCAAGGUCACCAGGAUUCCAACUCUCAUAUAUGGUAGCAGAUUGUAAUCGUAAUAUAACAGCUGAUAACGGUCAACUUGUUAGUCCGGGUUAUCCAGGAAACUAUCCUGUUAAUCUGGACUGUGAUAUUAGAAUCAGUGCACCAGCAGGAAGAACGUUAGCCUUGUAUUUUAACAGGUUCUCUAUCGAAUCACAUUCCAGCUGUAACUACGAUUAUCUAGAGAUACAUAAUGGGUCGAGUCCUAGUGACGGGGUUAUAGCUAAAUUAUGUGGCAGAACGUUACCUGAUACUGUCUUUAUUCCAACCAAUCAAAUUUAUCUAAAUUUCAAAACAGAUUUAUCUGUACGAAGACUGGGAUAUGAUAUAACAUUCACUUCAACAUCCGCUGGUUUGGGAUGUGGAGGUAGUCUGACGGGAAUCAACGGAAGUCUGACCAAUCCAAAUUUUCCAGGAAAUUUCUCGGAUGUGCAGACGUGUCAAUGGUCGAUAACUGUACCAGCACGAAGAACGAUAACAUUAACAUUUACAACGCUAAGUGUAAUAGGCGUGGCUGAUUGUUCCAACAAUUACGUGUCCGUCUACAAUGGUAACAAUGCGUUAUCAUCAACACCAACAUUCGGCAGAUACUGUGGUGAUACUGAUGUUGCCAGCAUGACGACGACAUCGAAUACAGCUUAUGUUAAAUAUGUUUCAACUGGUUCCAGUAACGCACCCGUGUUCAGGCUAACUUAUACCAGUUAGUACGAACAAGUGUCAA